ACUUGGAAUUUUACAUAUGGAAAUACUAUAAAAGGUUAAGGGCAAAGGUGGAAUUUCAACUUGGAAAUAUUAGGAAAGGUGAGGGGCAAAAUGGAAAUUUCACAUGGGAGCCUUAGUCAUAAAAUCCUAGAAUUCUCUACACAAUUUGAGAAAGAAGAAGAGCAAAGGAAAGAAGAGAAAUCAAGAGAGAAAAUCGGACAAGAAGAUCAAAAAAUUACCCCUUCAAAUUUCAUCCCAAAAAUUAUAAUUUUCUAGUAUUCCUACUAAGUCAAGGGUGCUCUACAACAUGGUGUAGUUUUUUUGGAAGAUAGGAGGCUUGUUUGGUUGAUUUGAAGCUUUGGUAAAGUGAAGAAGUUGGAAGGAAAAGAUUUUGGAGAAAAUGGAAAUUGAACUUGGACAACCGUAAAAGGCCAAAAAGGUACCGAAGUUCGAUUUGCUGAUCCACCUGUUUAGGAUAUUUGCUGCGUCGUUGACAGUGCUCCCUUGUUCGGAGCUUGUAUUUUGGUACUGACUUUAUCUCUGUAUAUUUGGAUAUGUUGGUCAGGGGUACGACGGGGCCUUGUUUCGUCAUAUGA
Solanum dulcamara is the source of this 575-nucleotide long non-coding RNA. RefSeq lists it as uncharacterized. NCBI's taxonomy places the organism in Eukaryota, Viridiplantae, Streptophyta, Magnoliopsida, Solanales, Solanaceae. The record is from RefSeq and is a predicted model, not a curated record. The transcript has 3 exons.